This 426-nucleotide ribosomal RNA is filed under the name uncultured bacterium. RNAcentral's name for it is "partial 16S ribosomal RNA". It matches the Rfam family "Bacterial small subunit ribosomal RNA", at positions 355 to 773 of the family's 1533-position model. The record is from RNAcentral.
UGGGGAAUUUUGGACAAUGGGCGAAAGCCUGAUCCAGCAAUGCCGCGUGUGUGAAGAAGGCCUUCGGGUUGUAAAGCACUUUUGUCCGGAAAGAAAUCCUUGGCUCUAAUACAGUCGGGGGAUGACGGUACCGGAAGAAUAAGCACCGGCUAACUACGUGCCAGCAGCCGCGGUAAUACGUAGGGUGCAAGCGUUAAUCGGAAUUACUGGGCGUAAAGCGUGCGCAGGCGGUUUGCUAAGACCGAUGUGAAAUCCCCGGGCUCAACCUGGGAACUGCAUUGGUGACUGGCAGGCUAGAGUAUGGCAGAGGGGGGUAGAAUUCCACGUGUAGCAGUGAAAUGCGUAGAGAUGUGGAGGAAUACCGAUGGCGAAGGCAGCCCCCUGGGCCAAUACUGACGCUCAUGCACGAAAGCGUGGGGAGCAAAC